Molecule: ribosomal RNA, 351 nt
Filed under: Rhinophloeus sp. BYU CO851
Lineage: Eukaryota; Metazoa; Arthropoda; Insecta; Coleoptera; Laemophloeidae
Description: partial 12S ribosomal RNA
Source: RNAcentral
AAUAAAUGUUAAAUUUUAUAUUAAAUGAUUAAUAGUUAAGAUCUUUAAAGUUAAAGAAUUUGGCGGUAUUUUAGUCUAUUCAGAGGAAUCUGUUCUAUAAUUGAUAGUCCACGAGUUAAAUUACUUAUAAUAAUUAGUUUGUAUAUCGUCGUAAAAGAAUAUUUUUUUAGAAUAUAAAUAUUCAUAAUUUUAGUAAGAAAGAAAAUCAGAUCAAGGUGUAGCUUAUUUAUAAGAAGAAAUGGAUUACAUUAAAUUUAUAUUUUUGGAUUAAUUUAUUAAAUUAAUUUAUGAAAAUGGAUUUGAGGGUAAUUUUAAUUAAAUUAUUAAAAUGAUUUUAGCCCUAAAAUAUGU